AGUGGCUCCCUGUGCCGGGUGCAGUGUGGGGUGCUAUGCCCGCCUGUUCUGUUGAAGCCUCAGAAGGACCCUGUGAGGCAGAAACUCUUGCCAUCCCGUUUUACAGUAUCCCUGUCCCUCGGAGGACUGUGGCUCCCAGGCUAGGCCAGGCUUUAUCAUCACAGAGGAGACGGGAAUCCUCUGGGAGACGGCGACUAUGGAUCCAGCGUUGAGGGGAUAAGGAGAGGAAAAGCUGCUGGAGGCGAAGCUUCCUGCCUUUGCGUCCGGCCAUACAGAGCUGCGCACAGUUCCCCAGCCUGUACCCGGCCUCCCUGCUCCCAGGCGUUGCACAGCUGAGCCCCUGCUCUGAUCACUCCCCUAAUGCCUACCCAUCCUUCAAGUCUUCGAUGCUGCCUCCUCCUGGGAGUCCUCGUACUCCCUCAGCAUUUGCUGUUUUCCUCUUGAAGGACAGCAUCGGGGUACAGGGCCACUGUCCACCUGGUGUAAUCCUUAGGUCCCGUCUAUUUUCCCCACUCGUCCCUGCCCUCCUUGAGGAUGAAGGCUCUGGCUUCAUCCUGAACCCCAGUGCCCAGGACAGUGUGUGGCAUACUGUCAGGGAUGUUGGCUGCUGAAAGCAACAUUAGUCACUGCACACGCUGCGAUCUGAAAUCCCUGUAUACACGCUCCCCACAGGGGACACCACAGGACCCUCAGAUUAACUACACAUGUAUUUAAUCUUCUCGGGAUUCAGUCUCAGUCAUUCCCAGGGCCUCCAACAGCCUCCAGCAAAGAUAAAUGUCCAACCAAUGUUGAAUGAAUGAAAGAAGAACCAACAUAAGAUAAAUGUCCGAGAGCACCCCUGGAGAAGGCUCACUGUGGCGGUGGCAGAUGUGGAGAGUUAGACGGCAGACAGGAGAUAGAGCCAUGGGAGCAAAUUGAGAGCAGGAAGAGAAACUUACUGAACACCUCCUAUGUAUUGGUACUGCCCCAGGUAUCUUGGGUUCAUUAUUCCACUUUCUCCUCAUCUU
This 1007-nucleotide long non-coding RNA is filed under the name Heterocephalus glaber (naked mole-rat). RNAcentral's name for it is "lncRNA (ENSHGLG00100040734.1)". The record is from RNAcentral. Lineage: Eukaryota; Metazoa; Chordata; Mammalia; Rodentia; Bathyergidae.